Molecule: ribosomal RNA, 274 nt
Filed under: uncultured bacterium
Lineage: Bacteria
Description: partial 16S ribosomal RNA
Rfam family: Bacterial small subunit ribosomal RNA
Source: RNAcentral
AUACGGAGGGUGCAAGCGUUGUUCGGAAUCACUGGGCGUAAAGGGCGCGCAGGCGGUUUGGUAAGUCAGAUGUGAAAGCCCACGGCUCAACCGUGGAAGUGCAUUUGAAACUGUCAGACUUGAGUACUAGAGUGGAAAGUGGAAUUCCCGGUGUAGAGGUGAAAUUCGUAGAUAUCGGGAGGAAUACCGGUGGCGAAGGCGACUUUCUGACUAGAUACUGACGCUGAGGCGCGAAAGCGUGGGGAGCAAACAGGAUUAGAUACCCCGGUAGUCC